This 753-nucleotide ribosomal RNA is filed under the name uncultured bacterium. RNAcentral describes it as "bacterial SSU rRNA". It matches the Rfam family "Bacterial small subunit ribosomal RNA", at positions 66 to 806 of the family's 1533-position model. The record is from RNAcentral.
ACGGUAGCACGGACUUCGGUCCGCUGACGAGUGGCGCACGGGUGAGUAACGCGUGGGUUACCUGCCCGUUGUUGGGGAACAACUUGGAGAAAUCCAAGCUAAUACCGCAUAAUACCUUCGGGUUAAAGAGGGGGAUCUUCGGACCUCUCGCUUAUGGAUGGUCCCGCGUCUGAUUAGCUAGUUGGUAGGGGAAUGGCCUACCAAGGCAAUGAUCAGUAGCUGGUCUGAAAAGAUGAUCCCUCACACUGGAACUGAAACACGGUCCAAACUCCUACGGGAGGCAGCAGUGGGGAAUUUUGCACAAUGGGCGAAAGCCUGAUGCAACCACUCCGCGUGCGGGAAGAAAGCCUUCCGGUUGUAAACCGCUUUCCACAGGGAAAAAAGAAUGAUAGCUAAUACCUCUCUGCCUUGACGGUACCUGUAAAAAAAGCACCGGCUAAUUUCGUGCCAGCAGCCGCGGUAAUACCAAAGGUGCAAGCGUUGUUCGGAUUUACUGGGCGUAAAGAGAUCGUAGGUGGCUUGUUAAGUCGGAUGUGAAAUCCCGGGGCUCAACCCCGGAACUGCAUCCGAUACUGGCAGGCUUGAGUUUUGGGAGGAGUAAGCGGAAUUCCGUGUGUAACAGUGAAAUGCGUUAUAUACGUGAAGAACACCUGAUGCGAAAGCGGCUCACUGGACCAAUACUGACACUGUCGGAUCGGAAAGCGUGGGGUAGACAAACAGGAUUAGGAUACCCUGGGUAGUCCACGCCCUUAA